GAAACUGUUUUUCACUGCAUUAUGCGUGUUUCUACUAGUACACUGCAUGCGUCCUAGAGGGUGUUUACCAGUUACUAAGAAACUGCUCCAAUAAUAAUAAUAAUGAAUGUAGAUAAAAAUGUUAUCCCCCCUCCCCCGGCGGGCAAAUUUCAAACUAAUCGCCCUUAAUCUGAACUAGCCCCUUGCUAAAUUCGUCCGUAGGUGUAGCAUACCCCUUUCUUGUUGCUAAAAGCUCUUGUAUGGCCGACAUCUUGUAUCUUCCAGAGAUGUCCAAAUCUACUUGGAGUGACCAACCUCAUGCAACUUCAAUCCAAAAAUAAUAGACCAACCACUUAGAGCUUCCAAACAAAUUUCCUUCGAAGAUAUGCCUAAAUCUACUUGGAGUGACCAAUCUCUUGUAGCUCCAAUAUUAAUAGACCAACCUCUUGUAGCUUCAAAUCAUAGUUUGCAUCUUCGAGAUAUGCCCAAAUAUACUUGGAGUGAUCAAUCUCUUAUAGCUCCAAUAUUAAUAGACCAACCUCUUCUAGCUUCAAGGCAUAGUUUGCAUCUUCGAGAUAUGCCCAAAUAUACUUGGAGUGAUCAAUCUCUUGUAGCUCCAAUAUUUAUUGACCAACCUCUUCUAGCUUCAAGGCAUAGUUUGCAUCUUCGAGAUAUGCCCAAAUAUACUUGGAGUGAUCAAUCUCUUGUAGCUCCAAUAUUAAUUGACCAACCUCUUGUAGCUUCAAGACAUAUUUUGCAUCUUUGAGAUAUGCCCAAAUAUACUUGGAGUGAUCAAUCUCUUCUAGCUUCAAAAUUAAUAGACCAACAUCUUGUAAAAUAGAUUUUGCGUCUCUGAGAUAUGCCCAAAUCUUCAUGGAGUGAUCAACCUCUCCUAGUAUAGCAAUUAAUAGACCAUACUUUUGUAGCUUCCAAAUAGAUAUUACAUCUCUCAGAUAGGCUAAAUCUACUUGGGGGAGAUAAACCUCUUGUAGCUUCAAAAUUUGAUAGACCUGACGUCAUGUAUCUUUCGAAAAGAUUUUCCAUCUCUGAGAUAUGCCCAAAUCUACUUGGAGUGAUGAACCUCUUGUAGCUUCAAAAAUAAUAAACCAACCUUUGGUAGCUUCAAAACAGGUUUUGCAUCUAUGGGAUAUGCACA
RNAcentral lists this long non-coding RNA (1135 nucleotides) under Triticum aestivum (bread wheat). Its description in RNAcentral is "long non-coding RNA (TAES_LNC014251)". The record is from RNAcentral. Lineage: Eukaryota; Viridiplantae; Streptophyta; Magnoliopsida; Poales; Poaceae.